GUUAAGUUAUAUAUAAUUUUGUAUUCAUCUUAAGUUUUAUCCAUAGAUAGUCCUUAAAAGAAAGCAAUACAGAAAAGCAAAUUUUGAAAUGAGUUUACAAUAAUCCUAUACAGCGUAGAUAUGAGCAAAAUGUUGUCUUUCGAUUUUUUUUUUCCAAACACAUUUUAGGGUCUGUGUCUACAGUUACCACAAAUCAAAUAGCAAUAGACAGAAUUAAGUUUUAAGAUCUGGGGCAGUUUGUCACUGUGUUAAGAGUUAUAGAAUGGGAGAAAGAAGCCCUGAGAUCUACUUCUGCUCUGUUCUUUAGAAAAUAAGACAGCUGGAUUCUAACAUCUUUAGUAUUUCUGCAGCUUUAUACUUCUAAGCUAUAAGAAAGACGUUUCAGACGUUAGCUGAAAGGCUAGUAAAACAAAGGUUCAUUCAAAAAUAUGAAUGUUAUUCAACAGCUUUUGAACAAUUUGUUUUGAUUAAAUGCUUUCCAUCUCAUUAAAAAGUCUGGCACCUCCUCCCUAUUCCUUGUCUAAUUUGCACAAAAAUUCACUUACGCUCUUUUAUGGAACGUGUAGCGUUUUGUGUUUUGUGUUUUGAAUACAGUGACGCGUGUACAUUAGCUAUCUUCCCUCCAGCAGCCCAGGGACCGUACCACACUGCUCAGCUUUGUAAACCACAACCACGGUGGGCAUUGUGUCUUACACAAAAUGCUAAGCAAACAUUUAUUAAAUAAUUGAUGGAACUAUUACAGAAGAUCUUAGCCAGGGAUUUGCUAGGUAAGCUACAGCAUUCAAAUUAUUCAUUUAUUCAUUCAACAAACACUUGCUGAAGGUGUAAUGUGCACCCGACUCUGGGCUGGAGGCUAAAGACGUAAAGGUAAACACAGUGGCUGGAAGUAAAGGAUCUCAUAAAAUAGCAGGCUGACAUUUAAUGAAAAAAUUCCCAUACAGUGUGAUGUAUCAGCAGCGUAGGAAGCGAUGGCCUACGGAUGACAGUAAAGGGUCCGUGGACCAGAGAUUGUUACUUCCGAGAAGGGUAUUGAAGGAAUGCUACGUGUCUGUGAAGCAGACCCAUGCGCUUGCAGUGUGUGUGUGGGUGUGUGUAUUGAUUCCAGGCAAAGAGAGUGAUCUGGGCUUUCGGAGAGGUGAGAAGCAGCAUGGCACGUCUGGGGCAGGCUUGGUGGAGGAGAUGAUACACAGCACAGAGGCGGGGAAGAGGGUGGUGACAGAUGAGUCUGAGUAGUUGUGGGCAGAGCUACAACUGUAAGUCACGGGGCAACAUGACAGGUUUUAAUCAGGGCGAGUGCCCAUCACUCCACUGGCUCUGUAGAGGAUGGUGUGGAGACAAGAGAUUCCAGAACAAGGAAGACCCGCUUCUAAGUCCGGGUGAGGUCCCCAGCACCAGGGCUCCGCUGGGGUCCGAGGUGCCCGGACUCAGCAGCUGGCCCCCCAGCCGCUUACCGCUCUGACACAGAAAACGUUAGGUUUUCACGUGCAUUAACUUGGCUGGAUAUUUUUCUAGAAGAACAUUUGAAACUUAAACAGUAAAAAUUAUGACCAUGAAGCUUUGUGGAGAAGUCCACAAGUGAUGGUCAUAGGAGAGAAAAAAACUGGAAAAAGAAAGACAUGCAUACUCUAUCCUUGCUAAUGAGUAAAACCUGUAGGGCGCGGUGAAAAGAGUUUCACGUCCCUACAUGUCAAGUCUGUCAUAAGAGAACAUUUCUGAAAGAAUUCAAAAUGUACCCCUUCAGCUUAGUUGACUUGAUUAGAUAUGAACUGAAUUAUCGACGUCCACGUAUCUCUUUGUGUGCAUGUGGUCAUUUUAGAUUUAUUUUACCCUGCAAAUGCAGUCUGUAGCAUUCCCCAGAACCUGUACUUGGGAGACGGCAGUGAGCUUCGCGCGGUAGCCCACAGAGAAAAGUGCACAUAAUCUGAGUGUAAACAGCUUGACAAAUUUCCACUGUGGUAUCCAGCAUCCCCAUCAAGAGACAUAACAUUACCAGCAUCUGGAAGCUCUGCUUAUGUUUCUUUCCAGAUGCUUCUCCCACUUCUAAGUGACAACGAAACUUCUGGAGGAUGGAAACCAUAUGCCCUAAGGAGUGAGCCAAAGUGCUGGAGUGCGCAAAAGCGAAAAGAAUGGGUAAUGCACAGACGGACAACGCACACAUCUCAGAAAGCCAACACAGGUGCAGGUGAACUGAGAAUAGCGGAUGGUCAGAGAAGACCAGUAUGGUGAGGGGUCAGUUAACCAUAAAAAUUGUAGAUGUUAUAGGUGAAAGAAACAUGAGCGAUAGGUUGAAAAGUCGGUCAGCUAGUAAAAGGUAGAGAAGGGCAGGCUCAAGGUCAGAUGGUGUGGAUGUGCCUGUUUGGACUCACAGUAGAACAACUUUUAAAUUGGAUAUGAAUGUCAUUAGAGGGCAGUAGUUUUCAGUUGAACACCAUCGCCAAACCUUCCUAUUAUCUUUUGUUCAUUGAUGUUUCAUCUCUGCCUCUUGAAAACAUUUGUGCUUAUAACCCUUGACUAGUUAAAUCAUUUUAUUUUAUAGAUGAGAUCCUGAGCCUGGAAAGUGGCACGUCCAGCUUAAUGAAGCAUGUCCUUCUUGUCAUCAUUCUCAGAAAGCACCUCCUCAUAUUAGUUCAUAACCUAUUCAUCAUUAGUUUACCCAGUGGUUAUUUCACUGCACAACAUGCUUUAUAAAACAAAACAAAACUUUUCUUUCCACUAGACUGUCUCUUUCCCCACCCACAAAAGACUAGACAUUUUUGUUUUAGGCGAUUGAUACAAGGCCAACGGGCAGAAAACAUGAAACAGAUUUCAACCUAACUACAGUAAUUAACAAUCUAUAAAUUUCAGCUGUCUCAGAAAGGGUUUUGGAAUAACACACGCUCGGGCAUGGGAAGUGUUCAAGCCAAGAUUAGGGAGACUGAAGAAGGAAAUCCUAUAUUUAAUGGGAGUUUGACUCUGAUAUCUCUAAAUUGCCAUCUGAGUUAAGAAACAUAUAGAAGUCCUGAUCUGGAUCUGUAGAACCUGUAAAUUUAGCAUCCGUACGCCUACCUCAGAAUCGAUC
Molecule: long non-coding RNA, 3058 nt
Organism: Leopardus geoffroyi (Geoffroy's cat)
Lineage: Eukaryota; Metazoa; Chordata; Mammalia; Carnivora; Felidae
Exons: 3
Source: RefSeq, a predicted model, not a curated record